RNAcentral lists this ribosomal RNA (2246 nucleotides) under Vibrio cholerae. RNAcentral describes it as "bacterial LSU rRNA". It matches the Rfam family "Bacterial large subunit ribosomal RNA", at positions 1 to 2291 of the family's 2925-position model. The record is from RNAcentral. Lineage: Bacteria; Pseudomonadati; Pseudomonadota; Gammaproteobacteria; Vibrionales; Vibrionaceae.
UUAAGUGACUAAGCGUACACGGUGGAUGCCUGGGCAGUCAGAGGCGAUGAAGGACGUACUAACUUGCGAUAAGCGCAGAUAAGGCAGUAAGAGCCGUUUGAGUCUGCGAUUUCCGAAUGGGGAAACCCAACUGCAUAAGCAGUUACUGUUAACUGAAUACAUAGGUUAACAGAGCAAACCGGGGGAACUGAAACAUCUAAGUACCCCGAGGAGAAGAAAUCAACCGAGAUUCCGGUAGUAGCGGCGAGCGAACCUGGAUUAGCCCUUAAGCACUCGGUGAAGUAGGUGAACAAGCUGGAAAGCUUGGCGAUACAGGGUGAUAGCCCCGUAACCGACGCUUCAUCGAGCGUGAAAUCGAGUAGGGCGGGACACGUGAUAUCCUGUCUGAAUAUGGGGGGACCAUCCUCCAAGGCUAAAUACUCCUGACUGACCGAUAGUGAACCAGUACCGUGAGGGAAAGGCGAAAAGAACCCCUGUGAGGGGAGUGAAAUAGAACCUGAAACCGUGUACGUACAAGCAGUAGGAGCACCUUCGUGGUGUGACUGCGUACCUUUUGUAUAAUGGGUCAGCGACUUAUAUUCAGUGGCAAGGUUAACCGUAUAGGGGAGCCGUAGCGAAAGCGAGUCUUAACUGGGCGCUCAGUCUCUGGAUAUAGACCCGAAACCGGGUGAUCUAGCCAUGGGCAGGUUGAAGGUUGAGUAACAUCAACUGGAGGACCGAACCGACUAAUGUUGAAAAAUUAGCGGAUGACUUGUGGCUAGGGGUGAAAGGCCAAUCAAACUCGGAGAUAGCUGGUUCUCCCCGAAAGCUAUUUAGGUAGCGCCUCGGACGAAUACUACUGGGGGUAGAGCACUGUUAAGGCUAGGGGGUCAUCCCGACUUACCAACCCUUUGCAAACUCCGAAUACCAGUAAGUACUAUCCGGGAGACACACGGCGGGUGCUAACGUCCGUCGUGGAGAGGGAAACAACCCAGACCGCCAGCUAAGGUCCCAAAGUAUUGCUAAGUGGGAAACGAUGUGGGAAGGCUCAGACAGCUAGGAUGUUGGCUUAGAAGCAGCCAUCAUUUAAAGAAAGCGUAAUAGCUCACUAGUCGAGUCGGCCUGCGCGGAAGAUGUAACGGGGCUAAGCAAUACACCGAAGCUGCGGCAAUGUCUUUUAGACAUUGGGUAGGGGAGCGUUCUGUAAGCCGUUGAAGGUGAAUCGUAAGGUUUGCUGGAGGUAUCAGAAGUGCGAAUGCUGACAUGAGUAACGACAAAGGGGGUGAAAAACCUCCUCGCCGGAAGACCAAGGGUUCCUGUCCAACGUUAAUCGGGGCAGGGUGAGUCGACCCCUAAGGUGAGGCCGAAAGGCGUAAUCGAUGGGAAACGGGUUAAUAUUCCCGUACUUCUGACUAUUGCGAUGGGGGGACGGAGAAGGCUAGGUGGGCCAGGCGACGGUUGUCCUGGUUCAAGUGCGUAGGCUUGAGAGUUAGGUAAAUCCGGCUCUCUCUAAGGCUGAGACACGACGUCGAGCUACUACGGUAGUGAAGUCAUUGAUGCCAUGCUUCCAGGAAAAGCCUCUAAGCUUCAGAUAGUCAGGAAUCGUACCCCAAACCGACACAGGUGGUCGGGUAGAGAAUACCAAGGCGCUUGAGAGAACUCGGGUGAAGGAACUAGGCAAAAUGGUACCGUAACUUCGGGAGAAGGUACGCUCUUGAUGGUGAAGUCCCUCGCGGAUGGAGCUGACGAGAGUCGCAGAUACCAGGUGGCUGCAACUGUUUAUUAAAAACACAGCACUGUGCAAAAUCGCAAGAUGACGUAUACGGUGUGACGCCUGCCCGGUGCCGGAAGGUUAAUUGAUGGGGUUAGCGCAAGCGAAGCUCUUGAUCGAAGCCCCGGUAAACGGCGGCCGUAACUAUAACGGUCCUAAGGUAGCGAAAUUCCUUGUCGGGUAAGUUCCGACCUGCACGAAUGGCGUAAUGAUGGCCACGCUGUCUCCACCCGAGACUCAGUGAAAUUGAAAUCGCUGUGAAGAUGCAGUGUACCCGCGGCUAGACGGAAAGACCCCGUGAACCUUUACUACAGCUUGGCACUGAACAUUGAACCUACAUGUGUAGGAUAGGUGGGAGGCUAUGAAGACGUGACGCCAGUUGCGUUGGAGCCGUCCUUGAAAUACCACCCUUGUAUGUUUGAUGUUCUAACUUAGACCCGUUAUCCGGGUUGAGGACAGUGCCUGGUGGGUAGUUUGACUGGGGCGGUCUCCUCCC